UCAAAACAAGUAAGCACACCAAUUGAGGAGUUUGUUGUGCUGCGAAUCUAUGAAUUGGAGAGUGCCGAAGGUAUUGUUGAAGAGGAGAAAUUAUAACCAUGUGGAGAGUGCCGAAGGACUGUGCAAAGUAUUUACACAAGAAGUUUCCGGACAGUAGGCAAGUUGGUGAAAACAUGGGCAAAGUUACUAAUACUAAACAUAUUCU
This is a long non-coding RNA of Helianthus annuus (common sunflower), 205 nucleotides long. RefSeq lists it as uncharacterized. The transcript is spliced from 3 exons. The record is from RefSeq and is a predicted model, not a curated record. Lineage: Eukaryota; Viridiplantae; Streptophyta; Magnoliopsida; Asterales; Asteraceae.